UCUGAAAAUUUACAUCCAUUUAUACUAUUAAAAAACUAGACAAUUACAUGUACCUCAUGCUAAUGUACCGGGACCAAUUUUUAACAGUAGAAAUGGAUGCAAAUUUUAAUA
This is a microRNA precursor of Gossypium arboreum, 111 nucleotides long. It matches the Rfam family "MIR7502 microRNA precursor family". NCBI's taxonomy places the organism in Eukaryota, Viridiplantae, Streptophyta, Magnoliopsida, Malvales, Malvaceae. The record is from Rfam.